This 314-nucleotide long non-coding RNA is filed under the name Equus caballus (horse). RNAcentral's name for it is "lncRNA (ENSECAG00000031294.3)". The record is from RNAcentral. Lineage: Eukaryota; Metazoa; Chordata; Mammalia; Perissodactyla; Equidae.
AAAGCCCCUCCCCUAACAGCUGGUUCCACUUCCUGGGCAGUUACGCCAUCAGGCUACGGUUGGGCCAGGUACCAGACGUUCCUCUUGGGAAGACAGGUGUGAUAUCAGGGGACAGGACACUGUCUGGACCUUGGCUGCCCUCCUGGCUCUUCGGGUGGCUGUCCUGGGAGAAGGCUGAUGUCUGCAGGCUCCAGACACUGCCCGUGCUGCAGGCCUUACAGAUGCCCAGGAACCUCAGCCCUGAGCCAUGUCUCUGUGGAAUGUUCCCCCUUCCCAAUUCUGUCUCCUGUUUUGUCAUUAAAAUAGUGGUAAAG